AGAAGAGGUAGAGGAGGAACAGCUGAUCAGGAGUGUGAUGGACAGGGUGAGGACAACAGCCAGGCAGGAAUUUCAGAUUAGCAGACAGGACACAAUGGCACUUCAGCAUCUUGCCCAGAACUCCUCUUUAAUGGAACAAAUUUAAUGCAAUUCACCUUUUGACAGCAGGCUUUGUGUACAGACUGUGGGAAAGUUUCCUUUCCUGAUGAGGUCAUCCCUCAACCCCCGAGAUCUGUUUCACUUACACACAAACACACAGGAAGGAG
This is a long non-coding RNA of Myxocyprinus asiaticus (Chinese sucker), 266 nucleotides long. RefSeq lists it as uncharacterized. The record is from RefSeq and is a predicted model, not a curated record. NCBI's taxonomy places the organism in Eukaryota, Metazoa, Chordata, Actinopteri, Cypriniformes, Catostomidae. The transcript has 4 exons.